UAAAUUUAUAAUAUAUAUUUUAUUUAUAUAUAUUUAAAAAUUUAUUUUUAUUAAAUAAAAUGUGAAACGAAGUGAAUUACGUCAACGGCAACCAGGAAUAGAACUUAAAAAGACGUAAAUACAUGUAAUUCAUAUAAACGGUCACGAAUGUGUUAAUAUUCAUAUGAACAUGGUACUAUCGAACAUUUUUUAAUACACGAAGAAUUUAAUAUUUGCUAUUAUUAUUAUUAUUAUUAUUAUUAUUAUUAUUAUUAUUAUUCACGAGCGUUAUUUGUGUUGCUCCAAUGAAUAUGCACGCGUAAGUGCGCGAAUCAAUAUCACACGUAAAACAUAUUCAUUUGAUGUGUAUUUUUUCUGCAUGAAAUGAUUAUAUUUGUAAAUCGAUGUUUUGUGUAGUUAUAGUUAUUGGAAAACGAUCCCACUAGUGCAGUAUUUUUCGAUCAAUGUGGAUUAUGUGCGAAGACAUUCGUUUCUUGAGACGUUUCAUGGAUCACAACUGGCUAAAUGGAAGAUGGGAAAUGACAAUGUACACUGCCAAGCUUUUCAUCAACCCUCGAUUGACCUCUACUUUAAGAGCUUAUACCUUCUACUUUGAGGAGGAUUGACAUGGGAAUCGUGAAAACACUGCACUAGUGAAACUCUCCAUUUUACGCUGAUAGCACUGCAGGUAUAAGCAGAUCCACUUGAGAUUUACUUUAUUGGAGAAGUGUGUUACAUCCCGCAGAUCAUCCACGCUAUCUACGCCUAAGAUUGGCUCUGAGGGACUUGGUUAGAGGGAGUGUGUGUGAGAAGUAAGCGUGGGUUACGAGUGCGAUUAAAAGGUUAGAGAGGGAUUUCGAAGAGACGGAAAUCUAGUUUUAGAAUGAGAGGAAAGAGUAGGCGGAGAGGUACCAGUGGGUGUGUAGUUAGAGUAUAGCGUGGGCGAGGAAGAAGAAAAGCGGUUAAACAGGUUAGGAAACGAGUACGGGAAAUGGCAGGAGGGCGAGACGCUGAUGCGAAAGGGAGAAAGGAGAACGAAGUCAGCAAAACUGGAACCGACACAGAAGAAGAAG
Long non-coding RNA from Polistes dominula (European paper wasp), 1052 nucleotides. Lineage: Eukaryota; Metazoa; Arthropoda; Insecta; Hymenoptera; Vespidae. The record is from RefSeq and is a predicted model, not a curated record.